Molecule: long non-coding RNA, 772 nt
Organism: Ahaetulla prasina
Lineage: Eukaryota; Metazoa; Chordata; Lepidosauria; Squamata; Colubridae
Exons: 3
Source: RefSeq, a predicted model, not a curated record
GGGAAAUUCUUCCUCUCUCAUCUCUCUCAUCUAUUGUCUGUCUAUCUGCCUUUCUUUCUCUCUCUCUCUCUAUAUAUAUAUACACCAGUUGUGGGUUGCUACCGGUUUGCCCCAGUUCGGGAGAACUUGUAGCAGUGGGUAGUGGGAGGCUCCGUCCACCCACUUGGACGUCAUCAAAUACAAUCUGUGCGUACGUGUGUGCAAACCAGUAGCAAAGAGCCCAGGUGGCCGGAGGAUUGCUGUCCACCGAACAUUGGAAGAUGGCCACGGUUCCCCUCUCGCUCUCCGUGAAAACGGACACCUGGAGGUUCCUCGGGGCGACUGAAACCAAAGAGCGACAUGACAUCAGGUGCUCCUGGACUUACGACCCCAAAUGGACCCAACAUUUAUGUUACUAAGUGAGACAGAAUAGAAUGAAUGAACUGAAAGGAGACCUUGGAGGUCUUCUAGUCUAGCCCCCUACUCAAGCAGGAGAACCUAUACCAUUUCAGUUGCUGUCUAGACUCGUCUUAAAAACUUCCAGUGUUGGAGCAUUCACAACUUCUGGUGGCAGGCUGUUCCACUGGUUAAUUGUUCUCACUGUUAGGAAGUUUUUCCUUAAUCCCAAGUUGCUUCUCUCCUCGAUGAGUUUCCAUUUGUUGUUUCUUGUUCUGCCUUCUGGUGCUUUGGAAAAUAAUUUGACUCCUUCUUCUUUGGGGCAGCCCCUCAAAUACUGGAAGGCUGCUAUCAUGUCCCCCCUAAUUCUUCUUUCCUCUAGCCUGGCCAAAUCCCA